Molecule: ribosomal RNA, 253 nt
Filed under: uncultured bacterium
Lineage: Bacteria
Description: partial 16S ribosomal RNA
Rfam family: Bacterial small subunit ribosomal RNA
Source: RNAcentral
UACGUAGGGUGCAAGCGUUAAUCGGAAUUACUGGGCGUAAAGCGUGCGCAGGCGGUUUUGUAAGUCUGAUGUGAAAUCCCCGGGCUCAACCUGGGAAUUGCAUUUGAAACUGGCAAGCUAGAGUCUUGUAGAGGGGGGUAGAAUUCCACGUGUAGCAGUGAAAUGCGUAGAUAUGUGGAGGAACACCGAUGGCGAAGGCAGCCCCCUGGGUCAAGAUUGACGCUCAUGCACGAAAGCGUGGGGAGCAAACAGG